RNAcentral lists this small RNA (2218 nucleotides) under Pan troglodytes (chimpanzee). Its description in RNAcentral is "processed transcript". The record is from RNAcentral. Lineage: Eukaryota; Metazoa; Chordata; Mammalia; Primates; Hominidae.
AUAUUGGCCGGGUGCGGUGGCUCAUGCCUGUAAUCCCAGCACUUUGGGAGGCCAAGGCGGGUAGAUCACUUGAGGUUGGGAGUUCGAGACCAUCCUGACCAACGUGGAGAAACCCUGUCACUACUAAAAAUACAAAAUUAGCCGGGCGUGGUGGCGCAUGCCGGUCAUCCUAGCUACUCAGGAGGCUGAGGCAGGAGAAUCGCUUGAACCCAGGAGGCGAGGUUGCAGUGAGCCGAGGUCAUGCCAUUGCACUCUAGCCUGGGCAACAAGAGUGAAACUCCAACUCAAAAAAAAAAAAAAGAAAAAAAAGAGACAAUAUCAAUAUCAACCUAGGAAGUGCUGGGCAUUGUCUUGGCUCUGAUAAUACAUCAGCAAACAAGACAGAAACGCCUGCGUCCUUAUGAACGUGUUAUUUUAUAAGACUCUCCAGCCCUCAUCCCUUCCCCAGUGCAGACUUUGUGGGAACCGAAGGCCCCGUAGCUCUCUUCCUGUGCAGCUGCUGAAGGCAUUUCCAGAGCAACAGGUCUUCCAGGGGCACUCCCAGCUUAAGGGGAUGACGAGACCUCACAUUUGGGAAUCAGGACCUCAUUCAAUCACGCAGUCAUUUCUCAGUCAGUGGACUCCUGUGGGCCAGCACUGUGCGGGGAGCUACCCUCUCAGAAAGCUCCUUGCUGAGCGGAGAGAAAGCUGAACUCACCCAUAAAGACCACAAGCUUCAGCCCAGAAUCAGGGUUUCCAAUCCUUUCCCCUAAUUUGCUUUCUUCCUCCCUGCUGUAAAUCAGGAAGAGAGGGCUCGACGAGAGGAGGAGGAGAACAGGAGGAAGGCUGAGGAUGAGGCCCGGAAGAAGAAGGCUUUGUCCAACAUGAUGCAUUUUGGGGGUUACAUCCAGAAGCAGGCCCAGACAGAGCGGAAAAGUGGGAAGAGGCAGACUGAGCGGGAAAAGAAGAAGAAGAUUCUGGCCGAGAGGAGGAAGGUGCUGGCCAUCGACCACCUGAAUGAAGAUCAGCUGAGGGAGAAGGCCAAGGAGCUGUGGCAGAGCAUCUAUAACUUGGAGGCAGAGAAGUUCGACCUGCAGGAGAAGUUCAAGCAGCAGAAAUAUGAGGUGGGCCGCCAUGCUGUCCCCGCCCAGCAUCUCCAUCUCACACUCCUCCUGGUUCACUGGGUCCCGUAAUACUGCCGCAGGUCCCUGGGUCCCUGUCCCUAUUCCCCAACAGCCCCCUUCAGCUCCUGCAUCUGCCCCUGCUGCCUGGCUUUCAGCAGUGUUCCAUGUCCACCGCAUUGACGACUGCUUGCUGGAAGUGUCUGAGAGCUCGCUGGGGCUGAGCAGAGACACUUUCCUGGUGUUCCAACCCUGGGGGUCUCCAACACGUCGAGGCAGCAGCUCAGUGAUCUGAGCUGGUUACAAGGACCAGGAUGCACCAAGCCAGGACCCCCAGUGGAAGGGAAGGGCUGCCAACAGAGAGGUGCUUCUCCCCACAUACACCCAAGGCCCUGGUGUGGGCACAAUUAGGCUGAGCCUCAAGCCCACAGUCUUUUGGGGUCCUAUGUGCACUAAUGAGGGUCUUAGGCGAACAGACACCAGGCAAGGAAAUGGCUUAGAGGACACUGAUGCUGCAUACCGGAGCUUAGACCUGGGUGCCAGUCCUUCCUUACCCACCACCCCCCAGCCCCGGUCCCAGGGCCUCUUUGCUACCUAAGGGAAGAAUUCAGCUUCCCCUGGAAGGUCUCCUUUGCUGCUCCUGCCAAACCACUCCUCCCUGGGCAAGAAGCCCCUCGCUGGGCAGGCUCAGGCUGCAGUGGCUACAGGGUACUCCCACCUCCCAAUACGGAGAGAGGCUGUAUUGCCUGGUGACAAUGGCAUGGACUUUGGAGCCAUAAUGCCUGGGUUGAAUUUCUACCUGUGCCCCUCACUGGCUGUGUGAUGUUGGAUCAAUGUUCUCCGAAACAGGAUCAACGAUAACCAGAAAGUCUCCAAGACUCGCGGGAAGGCUAAAGUCACCGGGCGCUGGAAAUAGAGCCCAGCCUCCUUCACCAAAGAUCUGCUCCUCACUCGCACCUGCCUCCGGCCUGCACUCCCCCAGUUCCCGGGCCCUCCUGGGCACCCCAGGCAGCUCCUGUUUGGAAAUGGGGAGCUGGCCUAGGUGGGAGCCACCACUCCUGCCUGCCCCCACACCCACUCCACACCAGUAAUAAAAAGCCACCACACACUGACUGGCA